Molecule: long non-coding RNA, 529 nt
Organism: Chlorocebus sabaeus (green monkey)
Lineage: Eukaryota; Metazoa; Chordata; Mammalia; Primates; Cercopithecidae
Source: RefSeq, a predicted model, not a curated record
CUGGUCUUGAACUCCUGACCUCAGGUGAUCCACCCACCUUGGCCUUCCAAAGUGCUGGGAUUACAGACAUGAGCCACAGCACCUGAUCUUAUUAUUAACUUCCAACUGAGAUAGACUUUUAUAAUAUAUUCUGAUGUUGAACAAACUACAGUAGACAUUUUAAAAAUACAUUGUUAAUUAAAAAUUUUUUUUUUUAAAUGAAACUCUCCAAAUCUGCUCCACGGGAGUGAGGCUGAUGCAACUAGAAGCUACAGAAAUAUUUGGCCUUGGAUUUCACUCGUUAAGAGAGAGCUGCCAACUCGUCCUUACCAACAGGGCGAUUUGCUGCAAAUUUGUACUGACUUCUGAAAAACACUUUAUCCAUUGUCUUCUUACAUCAGAAUCAACUCCCUAAAUUCUUGGGCACUGGCUUUGUAAACUGGUUUCUGGUCUUUGUUUCUGUCAACUUACCUAUAAAAGGAUACAAAAACUGAAGAACAGAGAGGAGGAUAUACCCUGGAAAGCCGAAGGUUUUAUUGACCAAAGACUG